GGAUGUGAGGGUUAUCUGGCUGAGACAUCUGUCACCCCACUGAUCGCCAGGGUUGAUCUGGCUGAUCUGGCUGGCUAGGCAAGUGUCCCCUUUCUUCCUCAAUGCUCCAUGUGUGUCCCUUCUGAGGACCGAUCUUAGGUCAAGGGUAUAUGAAUAGCUGCGCUUGCCUGCUAGAACUUUCAAACAAGCUCUCAAGAAAGCUAGCUGAGCAAGCCAGGUGGUCCUUUGGAGGCACACCAUUAAAGGAGAUGUGGAACCCUGUAUCAUUCCUCUUUUG
Molecule: small nuclear RNA, 277 nt
Filed under: Neotoma lepida (desert woodrat)
Lineage: Eukaryota; Metazoa; Chordata; Mammalia; Rodentia; Cricetidae
Description: 7SK RNA
Rfam family: 7SK RNA
About the family: 7SK was discovered as an abundant small nuclear RNA in the mid-70s but a possible function has only recently been suggested.
Source: Rfam by way of RNAcentral